UGUAAGCGUAUACCAAAGUUGUUGCAGUUAAAACGCUCGUAGUCGGAAUUUGGCAGUUCCGGAUGUGUGCACGUCGUGUGCGCACUUCGCGGGGAUUGCUUUUGUGGUCUUGCGUAGGAUGAGGCACUUUUAUUAGUGAACGUCCUCACGCAACCACUUUUUACUGUGAGAAAAUCAGAGUGCUCAAAGCAGGCAUUUGCCGUGAAUGUAUUAGCAUGGAAUAAUAAAAUAGGACUUGGUUCUAUUUUGUUGGUUUGUUGGGACUGAGUAAUGAUUAAGAGGGACAGUUGGGGGCAUUUGUAUUUCGGUGCUAGAGGUGAAAUUCUUAGAUUACCGAAAGACAAACUGCUGCGAAAGCGUCUGCCAAGGAUGUUUUCAUUGA
RNAcentral lists this ribosomal RNA (382 nucleotides) under uncultured eukaryote. RNAcentral describes it as "partial 18S ribosomal RNA". It matches the Rfam family "Eukaryotic small subunit ribosomal RNA", at positions 592 to 976 of the family's 1831-position model. The record is from RNAcentral.